Molecule: ribosomal RNA, 461 nt
Filed under: uncultured bacterium
Lineage: Bacteria
Description: bacterial SSU rRNA
Rfam family: Bacterial small subunit ribosomal RNA
Source: RNAcentral
GGACCCGCACAAGCGGUGGAUGAUGUGGUUUAAUUCGAUGCAACGCGAAAAACCUUACCUACCCUUGACAUGCCAGGAAUCCUGCAGAGAUGUGGGAGUGCUCGAAAGAGAACCUGGACACAGGUGCUGCAUGGCCGUCGUCAGCUCGUGUCGUGAGAUGUUGGGUUAAGUCCCGCAACGAGCGCAACCCUUGUCAUUAGUUGCUACGAAAGGGCACUCUAAUGAGACUGCCGGUGACAAACCGGAGGAAGGUGGGGAUGACGUCAGGUCAUCAUGGCCCUUAUGGGUAGGGCUACACACGUCAUACAAUGGCCGGGACAGAGGGCUGCCAACCCGCGAGGGGGAGCUAAUCCCAGAAACCCGGUCGUAGUCCGGAUCGCAGUCUGCAACUCGACUGCGUGAAGUCGGAAUCGCUAGUAAUCGCGGAUCAGCUUGCCGCGGUGAAUACGUUCCCGGGUCUU